CAUGGACUAACCGAGCAACGCUGUGUUAUCUGAUGGGUAGAUGCCUUUAUGUAAAUGUUAGGGAGACGGCUUCCAUCGGUCUCUGACUAAUUACGUGUUCAGGAGCAUACAGGUAAAUAUAUGCUCGCAGCUGUGCUGGCUAAGAAGCGUUGUGAGGAGCGGGCGGAAGUCGCCCGGGCCGAGGGCUGUCCCACUUCUGCCUCCAGCGGGUGCCAGUCUGCAGACGUCACUAUGAUGAACGAAUGUGCAAUGAAGAGACGAGACAGCUGGAGGAGCAGUGUGUGGGCGAGGGAGAGAGGUGGAGCUAGAGACGUGGAGGCGAUGCUAGGUGUGAGUGAGGUGGCCAGGGUGGUGUGCAGCAGCCUGGAGAUUCAGACCCCACCUUCCCGCCUCCCUGUCUCCCUACCUAACGGCCCCACAACCCACAGCCCAGCAUUGGGAUCACCCUGGCUCUGAGCUAUGAUGGAGGCUUGAGAUGAGAAAUGGUUCACUUUCUGGACUGGACCUCUUUGAAGGACCACCAUGGUCAAUGAUGCCAUGGCCACUGAGGACCAUGAGGACCAUGAGGGUUUGGUGGUACUUGAUGCGGCUGGGGAUCAGAUCGAUGUCUGUGGCAUGUGUUACACCUAACCCCAUGUGUAGCUGUGGUCUAUGCAACGGCCUGAAGCCAUUGAUAGCCGUUGAUGUCUGUGGAAUGUACCAUUGGCUGCCCCUGGGGGCCAUAUUGACUGCUGAGAAUGGAAUGCUGGCAAGCACCACAACACCGAGCUGCAGCCCCAGCCCACAGCACUGAGCUGCAGCCCCAGCCCUCUGAGAGUGGAUUCGAUCAAGCCAUGCCAUGAGAUGGGCACUCAAGCUCCAUGUACCUGACUGUGAGCUUUCGGCAUUACCCAGUUUCACAUUCUGCUGACAUUUAACCUCCAGCUCUCGCUCAGGGCUCACUCACUUUCUUCUGCCCCCAAACCUUUGACUCUCACUCUCAGCUAAGAGUUCUGCCUCUUAUUUAUCUGAGACAAUUAGGCAGACGGAGUCUUAUCACAUAUGGAUGUGCCUCAGCUUUAACCCUAGUCUCUUGAAUUGUUCCGUGCCCGGGGGGCCGUGGCCAGCCUGUGUGAUAACUCCUGGAUCUCUCUCCGACAUCGGUUGCAGACUUGGGUACCCGGUUGCCUGCUCUCCAGCUGCAUUGGUAUGACUUGGUGAGCACCUCAUACUCAGCACAAGAAAACAUUCUUCCUUGAUGGGCCGACAAUUGUGCUAAGCAGGCCUACUGCAGUACUUUCCCUUGCCUCGUUGUGAUCACUGACAUUUCUGCAUGUAGUCAGCACUAGGCAUAGGGCCACAAAGAGACGGCCAAGCAGAUCUCCGAGACUGCAUACACAUUCUUGUCUCAUGGGUACAGUCUGAGAGCAUCAGUGCAAAGGGGGCAGAAGACACAAGAGUCUGGGCACCCGCCUGUGUAACUUGGGUCACUUAGAUCUCUGUGGGCCUGGUGCCUGGUGCAUCACUGGUGCCUGGUGCAUUCAAAUAAGGAAUGGCUGCCCCAUCCUACCAACUUUAUGACCACUGAAAACCAGACUAAAUGGGGCAGUUCCAGUCAUACACUCCUUUGAAGCCUGUCCGUAGGAGACAAAUAUAUGACCAUAUCAACACCUGACACAUUCACCUUGUUUUUAUUACAUGUCAGUGGCUCCCAUGUGGCCGCUGGUGAAGUCAAACUCCUUGUACCUCCUGACACCCAAGAGCAUCAUCUCCAGCCCGCUACUUCCUGUUCCGGCUCCUUACUCUCCUCCUUCCCCCUUCUCACACUGUCUUCUUCGCCUGGUAUCCCAUCCCUCUUCCCAAACUCCUUACUCUAUUCACCCUUUAAAAACCACCUUAGGAAAAAAAAAUUAAAUCAACCCGUGUAUACGUUGGUUUGUAUGUAAUAUCGAACACAUGAGUAUUACUGUAUCAGUGCAAAUCUGUGGAAUGCUGACCAGGGAAAUGUUUUAAAAUAUAUUUAAAAUAAUCAUA
This is a long non-coding RNA of Meriones unguiculatus (Mongolian gerbil), 2013 nucleotides long. RefSeq lists it as uncharacterized. The record is from RefSeq and is a predicted model, not a curated record. Lineage: Eukaryota; Metazoa; Chordata; Mammalia; Rodentia; Muridae. The transcript is spliced from 2 exons.